AUUCCCUUGGAGCUGAACGGGUGAGAGUCGUUUGCACGAUGCAGGGAGAAAUGAGUGGAUUAUAAAAUGAUCUGUUGGAUCUACCUUCAGAGAGGAAAACUACGGCUUCCAGGGCAGCUUUUCAGAAGUCUAGAACUUGUGAUGCUGGGCUUCUGUUGAUGUGCACUUGAGGGCCCAUGAGAAAGAGUAUUAACAAACAUUCUUUAAUUUUGUAAGAAUCAUUGAGAGGCACAUUAAUGCUACAGGGUCUGUACUCGAUUUCAAGUCAACAUCAGCUUAGUUUAUGUAAGGGGCUCAUCUUCAUUAGUUUUCAUCAAAUAAUACAGUAAAUACAGAGCAAAGAGACACUGGCCAAAUAUACAAGCUUUAGUGAUAUCGCUCUCAUUUCAUCAUCAUAAUCCUAUGGCCUCAGCCGAGAGGGCUUAAGAUGACCCUGAGGUCUUUUAUUGCACUUGGCAUGUCCAUUACAAACUCACCAUGAUUGUGCAUUGCGUAAAAUUAAAGGUUUACUCACUCAUUUCAAAUUUAAGUUGCUCAGAAAACUUAGAUUGGCUGUACAGCAUACAUACCCCUUUUCUUUAGCAUAGUCUUGUGCAAAAUGUUCUUGAUUGAGAAUAUCAACAAGUUUAUUGAUUCCAAUUUUUUUUUUCACCAUUUGGCAGUUUGGGAAGCAGUGACUCCAAUUUAUAGAAGGCUGCUUGUUUGAUACCAAGUCACAAAUGUUACCAUGAAUAGUCACUAACUUUUGAGUGUCUAGCCAGUGCAUGUGCUAUAGUAUGUUAUGCUAUAAGCUUUUAUUUUCAAGCUGAUAACAGUCAAUUCAGGCUUUAUUUCAUUUAAAUUUUAAUUUUGUGACUGAAAAGUUCUUUCUUUGAUCCUCAACGUCUGCAUUUUGUCUUUGAUUAGCUAGAAAUACUAUUAUUUUUUUAAUUGGAUCACAGUUUUUAUUUCUUCCUUGUUUUUUUUACCAUUGCUAAUGACUCUACAUGGCGCUUAUGAGUAUUUGAAACUUAUCCCUUGGUUGCACUGCGUUAGGUUCUAACUUCAAUCUUGUGAAGGGGGGCAAUGGCAAAAAUGGUUUUAUUAAAAAAACAUUCUACUGCUAA
This is a long non-coding RNA of Nematostella vectensis (starlet sea anemone), 1106 nucleotides long. RefSeq lists it as uncharacterized. Lineage: Eukaryota; Metazoa; Cnidaria; Anthozoa; Actiniaria; Edwardsiidae. The record is from RefSeq and is a predicted model, not a curated record. The transcript has 2 exons.